This 2509-nucleotide unclassified non-coding RNA is filed under the name Leishmania donovani. Its description in RNAcentral is "gene:unknown". The record is from RNAcentral. Lineage: Eukaryota; Euglenozoa; Kinetoplastea; Trypanosomatida; Trypanosomatidae.
UGACUCCUCGUGCCUUUCUACUCAUCGUCGAGCCCUUAGCCUGCUGCGCGCGUUCGAUGUGGUAUGAUGCGCCUCUGCAUGAGUCCAUUUUUCGCACGUCUCUUUCUUUUCGACACACUUAGUACAGCGUCGAAGCCGGACAGGAUGGAAUACACACAUCAGCAAGGAAACACGCUUGGCAACGAACACGCACACAGACGCAUCGUCGCUUUCAUCUUUUGUUGCCGUUUUAAUCAUCUUGCGUCUUUUUCAUGUUUCGCUGACCUCGCUGCUCUCUGGCGCUUGACGCGCACGCAUGCCUCACCCCGACCCUCGUCUACGCACUGAAACCACCGACCUCAGGCGAACACUCCAACCUUCCUCUCUCCACUAACCCUCGCCCGUAGCCGCCACCAUACUUCACAAGAGCGGCUCCGACGAAUUUUCAAGCGCUCAUUGCGUCUGUGUUCGCUCCUGAAGAGAAAGCAGCCCCUCUCCCCUCCCCUCCCGGGGUAUAGAAGCUCGUUCAGUUUUGCAUGUGUGGUGCAGUGCGUAUACAUGCAGCUGCGAGGCGCAUAACACAGAGCGUAAACCUGUGUUCUUCGACCCACACACCGGCAUCCUGUCUUUUGUUGCCCUUCCCUCCCUUUCUUCUUUUGUCACCCUUUCCCUCUUCGAUAAAGUUGCCUCGUCUUUUCACAUGUCACCUCCAAUGCGUGAAGUGGGAACGACAGAAACAAGACGUUGCCGAAGGGGGCGGGAGAGGCGCGGAGGGGCGCAAGAGGACUUUUCACCUCUCUUCUGUUUUCUCCGCCCUCUUUUCGCGUUCGUGAACCACCGCAUCCUGCGGCACCUCUUUGCGAGUGCUUCCGCACCUCUUACGCUUUUUGGUUCUGUUGCGCUUCACCAUCUCUACGGGGCUGCACAUCUUCGCCAUCUCCCUUACCUCCACAUUCCGUCGUCCUAUAAUCUGUACAUGUUCAUCUAUAUAUAUAUAUAUACCUUUUCGCUUUUCCUUUGCCCUCUACCAUUUCGCCGAUCGCUGCCCUCGCACUGUCUCUCUGUUUCUCCUCUGACUCUCGCGGACGCUGCCUUCUUUCCUCAUCUCCCUCCCCCAAGAUCACCGUUUCGCUCCCCUUUCUGUCUUCCCUCCUACCAUGAAGUGGGCAACUGCGCUGUACUGAAGAAUCAGAUGGUCACGCUUAGCAGCGCGUCCCCUUUUACAGUGGUUGACGGGGAACUGUCGCCGCCGCUGCGGUUUUUUUUUUUUUGCCCCCCCCCCCCCCCCUGUGGGCCUGCUUGGGUGUUUCGGUUGAUCACUUUUUGUAUUUGGGCCGCAAGUGGCGUAUUCCCGUUAUGGGCGUCGUCUCUAUGCUCUGCGGCGCGCUCCUCGCUUAAAGCGUCUGUGUGGGCAGAGGAACGAGCGGUGUGCGGGCGCCCGCCUCUUGUUGUUUCGUCUCCACUUCUUUCCUACGUGUGCAUUCCUGUUUUCGCUAUGUGCAUCCGCCGACACACCGACUCACCCAUGCACCCCUCCCUCCCUCUGCUCACAUCAGCUGUUUAUCCUGUUUUUGCUGCCCUUUUCGGCUACCAUUUUCGUCCAAUUUGAUGGGUUAGAGAAGUGCCGCGGCCUUAUAAACAAUCAACAGCACUCUCUGUGUGUGUGCAGCCAUCGUCCUCCCCACUCCUCUACAGCGCUGCCUCCCUCUUCCCCAUCCGCUCUGCCUCCCAUUUACGCACGAAGCAUCUGCUGCGCUGCUCUUUUCUGUUGCCUCGCGUUCUUCAGACACUUCUCUUUUUUUUUCUGUUGGCUUUUCGUCGUCGUUUGUCACUCGUCUUUCUCUCGUCAAUGCCCCUCCCCCCUUGCUUCUGGCCCUCUUUGCGUGUGUGUAUGCCUAGGGCACAGGCUCUGCAUGGGCUUCUCCAUACUCCCGACUACGACCCACCCCUCACGCUGCGCUCGCCAGCGUCAGUGCCCCUACUCCUUUACGUGCCUCAACGGACAACAUCGCCACAGCUCCCGCUACCUCCCUCGCUCUCUCUCUCUCAUUCUCUGCAGUUCCUUUUUCGUUUUUUUUUAAUACUUGCAAUGUGCCCGUCACGUGAUAUGGUCACCAGACGACCGGACUUCGCGUCCCGUGAGCCACGGCGCGGAACGGGGGAGUGGAUGCUGGGUGAACGCGUAGUGCACUGAAGGGCAUCACCUACGGGUAAUAGCGGUUUCUUCCUCUCCGUAUUCUUUGUGCGAGACUGAGCAGCGAAUUUUCUAACCCCCCUGACGACUGGAUUAUGAGGGCAAACAAAUUGGCAUAAUCCCCGCGUGAAGAGGUACGUGGCAUGCGGUGAAAGCGAUGGCUCUGCUGUACUGCUACUGUCUCCUCUCUGUCCACAAGACCGCAAGACUCGCUCUGCUUCCCUUCGCGAAUUUUUUCUCUCUGUUUUUGCCCUCCCCACCACACCUCCGCCGCCUCGCGUAGGUGGCUAGUCUCUAACUGACCAAUUAGUGAGUUUGACUCCCCAGAACACAAAC